This 118-nucleotide ribosomal RNA is filed under the name Dichanthelium oligosanthes. Lineage: Eukaryota; Viridiplantae; Streptophyta; Magnoliopsida; Poales; Poaceae. The record is from RNAcentral.
GGAUGCGAUAAUACCAACAGUAAACAACGGAUCCCAUUAGAACCCUUAAGUUAAGCUUGCUUGGGCGAGAGUAGUACUAAGAUGGGUGACAUCUAGGGAAGUCCUUGUGUUGCAUUCG